CCUACGGGAGGCAGCAGUCGAGAAUCAUUCACAAUGGGGGAAACCCUGAUGGUGCGACGCCGCGUGGGGGAAUGAAGGUCUUCGGAUUGUAAACCCCUGUCAUGUGGGAGCAAAUUAAAAAGAUAGUACCACAAGAGGAAGAGACGGCUAACUCUGUGCCAGCAGCCGCGGUAAUACAGAGGUCUCAAGCGUUGUUCGGAAUCACUGGGCGUAAAGCGUGCGUAGGCUGUUUCGUAAGUCGUGUGUGAAAGGCGCGGGCUCAACCCGCGGACGGCACAUGAUACUGCGAGACUAGAGUAAUGGAGGGGGAACCGGAAUUCUCGGUGUAGCGGUGAAAUGCGGAGAUAUCGAGAGGAACACUCGUGGCGAAGGCGGGUUCCUGGACAUUAAUUGACGCUGAGGCACGAAGGCCAGGGGAGCGAAAGGGAUUAGAUACCCCAGUAGUC
This 446-nucleotide ribosomal RNA is filed under the name uncultured bacterium. RNAcentral's name for it is "partial 16S ribosomal RNA". It matches the Rfam family "Bacterial small subunit ribosomal RNA", at positions 338 to 795 of the family's 1533-position model. The record is from RNAcentral.